This 347-nucleotide long non-coding RNA is filed under the name Mus pahari (shrew mouse). RNAcentral describes it as "predicted gene 16075 (MGP_PahariEiJ_G0002570.1)". The record is from RNAcentral. Lineage: Eukaryota; Metazoa; Chordata; Mammalia; Rodentia; Muridae.
AACCCAUCUUUGCAUGGCAUCACUCAGGCACCUCUGUAAAGGACCUGAGUACAAGUCAUUGUGCUUGGAAGUUUAAUGGCAGGAGGCGAGAGCGGAAACAGAGCAGUCGAAGCCAGGCAGCUCCUCACCCCUCACAGCGUGAGUCGAGAGCGGGCAUCUUGUGUUGAUGAAUCACAAGGAGAUGACAAGACCCAGCACGUGAGUGCCAGCCAGCUACCACGGGCUAGGUGAGGAACGCCCGGCUUCCUCUACUGGCUGACACUUGGCCAAACAAUUGGAUUUUCUUUUUUUCUCUUCUAAACCACAUGCAUUCCUCUGAUUAAAGCGAAAGCAUACCGGGCCUGUAA